Molecule: non-coding RNA, 30 nt
Filed under: Rattus norvegicus (Norway rat)
Lineage: Eukaryota; Metazoa; Chordata; Mammalia; Rodentia; Muridae
Source: RNAcentral
UACUCAGUUGAUGAAGUCUGCUCCCUCACA